Molecule: ribosomal RNA, 353 nt
Filed under: uncultured bacterium
Lineage: Bacteria
Description: partial 16S ribosomal RNA
Rfam family: Bacterial small subunit ribosomal RNA
Source: RNAcentral
CCUACGGGUGGCAGCAGUGAGGAAUAUUGGUCAAUGGGCGGAAGCCUGAACCAGCCACGUAGCGUGCGGGAUGAAGGCCCUACGGGUCGUAAACCGCUUUUGCACGGGGAAAACACCCUCCACUUGUGGAGGUCUGCAGGUACCGUGCGAAUAAGGGCCGGCUAAUUCCGUGCCAGCAGCCGCGGUAAUAAGGAAGGCCCGAGCGUUAUCCGGAUUCAUUGGUCGUAAAGGGAGCGUAGUCGUGCGUUCAAGUCAGCUGUAAAAUCGAGCGGCGCAACCGGGCACCGCAGUUGAAACUGGACGCCUUGAGUUCACAACGGGCAGGCUGAAUUCGUGGUGUAGCGGUGAAAUGC